CAGUAACGGCGAGUGAAGCGGCAACAGCUCAAAUUUGAAAUCUGGCUCCUUCGGGGUCCGAAUUGUAAUUUGUAGAGAGUGCUUCGGGCGAGACCUCGGUCUAAGUCCAUUGGAACAUGGUGUCAUAGAGGGUGAGAAUCCCGUAUGCGACCGUGGCUCGAGCCCAUGUGAAGCCUCUUCGACGAGUCGAGUUGUUUGGGAAUGCAGCUCAAAACGGGUGGUAAAUUUCAUCUAAAGCUAAAUACUGGCUGGAGACCGAUAGCGCACAAGUAGAGUGAUCGAAAGAUGAAAAGCACUUUGGAAAGAGAGUCAAACAGUACGUGAAAUUGUUGAAAGGGAAGCGCUUGCAACCAGACCUGCCCGUAGGCGAUCAGCCGCUGUUCUCAGCGGUGUACUCGCUCUGCGAUCAGGCCAGCAUCGGUUUCGGCGGUCGGAUAAAGGCCUUGGGAAUGUAGCUUCCCUUCGGGGGAGUCUUAUAGCCCUCGGUGUAAUGCGGCCAGCCGGGACCGAGGACCGCGCUUCGGCUAGGAUGCUGGCGUAAUGGUUGUAAGCGACCCGUCUUGAAACACGGACCAAGGAGUCUAACAUCUAUGCGAGUGUUUGGGUGUCAAACCCAUACGCGGAAUGAAAGUGAACGGAGGUGAGAACCCUUAAGGGCGCAUCAUCGACCGAUCCAGAUGUCUUCGGAUGGAUUUGAGUAUGAGCAUAGCUGUUGGGACCCGAAAGAUGGUGAACUAUGCCUGAAUAGGGUGAAGCCAGAGGAAACUCUGGUGGAGGCUCGCAGCGGUUCUGACGUGCAAAUCGAUCGUCAAAUUUGGGUAUAGGGGCGAAAGACUAAUC
RNAcentral lists this ribosomal RNA (840 nucleotides) under Xanthoparmelia mexicana. RNAcentral describes it as "partial large subunit ribosomal RNA". It matches the Rfam family "Eukaryotic large subunit ribosomal RNA", at positions 81 to 936 of the family's 3401-position model. Lineage: Eukaryota; Fungi; Ascomycota; Lecanoromycetes; Lecanorales; Parmeliaceae. The record is from RNAcentral.